RNAcentral lists this transfer RNA (607 nucleotides) under Acinetobacter nosocomialis. RNAcentral describes it as "partial miscellaneous RNA". The stretch from base 60 to 133 matches the Rfam family "tRNA". Lineage: Bacteria; Pseudomonadati; Pseudomonadota; Gammaproteobacteria; Moraxellales; Moraxellaceae. The record is from RNAcentral.
ACGAAAGAUUGACGAUUGGUAAGAAUCCACAACAAGUUGUUCUUCAUAGAUGUAUCUGAGGGUCUGUAGCUCAGUUGGUUAGAGCACACGCUUGAUAAGCGUGGGGUCACAAGUUCAAGUCUUGUCAGACCCACCAUGACUUUGACUGGUUAAAGUUAUAGAUAAAAGAUACAUGACUGAUGAUGUAAGCUGGGGACUUAGCUUAGUUGGUAGAGCGCCUGCUUUGCACGCAGGAGGUCAGGAGUUCGACUCUCCUAGUCUCCACCAGAACUUAAGAUAAGUUCGGAUUACAGAAAUUAGUAAAUAGAGAUUUCGGUCUUGGUUUAUUAACUUCUGUGAUUUAAGUAUCACGGUAUUAAGCAUGACCUGACGAAGGCAUGUUUAUUCAUUAACAGAUUGGCAAAAUUGAGUCUGAAAUAAAUUGUUCACUCAAGAGUUUAGAUUAAGCAAUUAAUCUGAAUGAAUUGAGAACUAGCAAAUUAACUGAAUCAAGCGUUUUGGUAUAUGAAUUUAGAUUGAAGCUGUACAGUGUUUAAAUACACAGUGCUCUAAACUGAAAUGUUGAAGUUACUAACUUGUAGGUAACGUCGACUGUUUGGGGUUGUAU